RNAcentral lists this long non-coding RNA (487 nucleotides) under Gossypium raimondii (Peruvian cotton). RNAcentral's name for it is "long non-coding RNA (GRAI_LNC000755)". The record is from RNAcentral. Lineage: Eukaryota; Viridiplantae; Streptophyta; Magnoliopsida; Malvales; Malvaceae.
GCUUGCUGGUUUGGUGGCUAUUUGUGUGUUAGUGUAUCUCUGGGUUGCGUGCUCAAAUCCUUGUGUGUGCAUUUUGGAGAAAUAUUUUUAUUUUGUUAAAUAGCAAAUUUGUUUUAAGUUUAAGAAUAAUUAUUUUGUUUUAUUUUUAUUAUUUUUAUUUUUACUUUGGUUACAACUUUUCUUUCUUUUCAUGUUCUCCUCUCCCUCUCCUUUGUUCCCCUUUCUUAUUUAUUUAUCUAUUUGUUUUGUUUUGUUUUCCUUUCUGCUUUUGCGAAAAUGGUGUUGUUUGUGGUUUCUGGAGAGCUUCAGUUUUUUUGUCGUCGAGUCGAUGUCUGGACGUCUUUGAUCGCGAAUCAGGUGUUAGUUCAAACUCUCCAACUCCAUUUGUGAUUUGUUGUUUCGAUUAUGUGGAAUUUGAUAUAUUUUAAAUGGAUUGGUGAAUGUGUGGAAGGUUUCGCUUUUAAGUUGCGUAAAACUUGGUUUCCUA